This is a long non-coding RNA of Numida meleagris (helmeted guineafowl), 984 nucleotides long. RefSeq lists it as uncharacterized. Lineage: Eukaryota; Metazoa; Chordata; Aves; Galliformes; Numididae. The record is from RefSeq and is a predicted model, not a curated record. The transcript has 3 exons.
CCUAAACAUUAUUUCAUAUAAGAAAUAAUUCAGCUUUCAACAGUCAGCAGUCUGUGAAGCAAGGAGAAUGACUCCUGGCUGUUUUAUGGUUUAAAGCAUGACUGAAUACACUAACAGGGCUCCAUGAAGUACUCAUUUCAAUACGUAUAAUAUAUUUUUAAAAUAUUUAAACUCCAUAUAGAUCUCAUCCUUUAAAUAACUAAGAAGAGCACUUCUACUGCACUUAAGAAGUAGAGGCAGUAAAACCACAGAAUACUAGAAUACCAUCAGUGAUAUGAAUGUUAAAAUUUGAUUCUCUGGUAAAUAACGUGUGUGAUUAUUUGUGCAAUUUCAGCUGUUCUUUAUUUCAGCUUCUCUAUCUGUAAAGUAGGCAUAGUUGUAACUUGCAGAGUAUUUUGAGAUUUAUAGUUACAAAAUAUCAGUGUAAUAAUUAUAGAAAGAACGAUCUAUUCCUAAAUCUUUUAACUCAGUUCUAAAUAUCAAUCCAUAACAUUUACAUUGUGGCAAUCAUGGUAAAGACUUUAUGUCUGAUUAAUAACUUUUGUAAGGUUAGCUUAUUUUUGAUGUUUGUUUGCAGGUUCUUCUGGGUAAAUAUACAGGGGCAUCACAAGUGAUAUUUAAAUCUCACCACGGCAACAGACUUCUCUAUGCUCUACCAGUAACAUAUCUGCAGAACUGCCAGAUGGGGAGAGAAACUGCAGUGAGAAAAUAAUGAUCAGGCAAAUGGGGCAAAGAUAGAAUGGGGAGAAUGAGGAAGCAAUCCUGGUAGUUGUAAGCGCUCUCUAAGUUUCAAGAUUCUCCUCUGGCUGUUGAGAAGUCCUCAGGAAGAAAAACGCAAGAGGUGCCCCUUCCUUCCCUCGUGGGGUUGGCCAGAUUCAAUGUGUUACAAACAAACAUAUUCCACCUGUUACAACAAUCUGGCAUAUUACUUUCUUGAUACGUGAUGAUACAAUACCUCUCAGGUUUGCCGAGUAGCAAAGAGAA